GAUGAACGCUGGCGGCGUGCCUAAUACAUGCAAGUCGAGCGAACAGAUAAGGAGCUUGCUCCUUUGACGUUAGCGGCGGGCGGGUGAGUAACACGUGGGUAACCUACCUAUAAGACUGGGAUAACUUCGGGAAACCGGAGCUAAUACCGGAUAACAUUUGGAACCGCAUGGUUCUAUAGUGAAAGAUGGUUUUGCUAUCACUUAUAGAUGGACCCGCGCCGUAUUAGCUAGUUGGUAAGGUAACGGCUUACCAAGGCAACGAUACGUAGCCGACCUGAGAGGGUGAUCGGCCACACUGGAACUGAGACACGGUCCAGACUCCUACGGGAGGCAGCAGUAGGGAAUCUUCCGCAAUGGGCGAAAGCCUGACGGAGCAACGCCGCGUGAGUGAUGAAGGGUUUCGGAUCGUAAAACUCUGUUAUUAGGGAAGAACAAACGUGUAAGUAACUGUGCACGUCUUGACGGUACCUAAUCAGAAAGCCACGGCUAACUACGUG
This 497-nucleotide ribosomal RNA is filed under the name uncultured bacterium. RNAcentral's name for it is "partial 16S ribosomal RNA". It matches the Rfam family "Bacterial small subunit ribosomal RNA", at positions 28 to 507 of the family's 1533-position model. The record is from RNAcentral.